This 170-nucleotide ribosomal RNA is filed under the name uncultured eukaryote. RNAcentral's name for it is "partial 18S ribosomal RNA". It matches the Rfam family "Eukaryotic small subunit ribosomal RNA", at positions 1299 to 1458 of the family's 1831-position model. The record is from RNAcentral.
UGGUGGAGUGAUUUGUCUGGUUAAUUCCGUUAACGAACGAGACCUCGACGUGUUUAAUGGGUGUUGUCACCGCCUUUCGCGGUGGCAUGGCCGCGAGGCCGCCUCUUUCUGCGGGCACCCUCUUAAACGGACUAUCGGUGCUUAGCCGGUGGAAGUUCGAGGCCAUAACA